RNAcentral lists this long non-coding RNA (240 nucleotides) under Solanum tuberosum (potato). RNAcentral describes it as "long non-coding RNA (STUB_LNC000099)". The record is from RNAcentral. Lineage: Eukaryota; Viridiplantae; Streptophyta; Magnoliopsida; Solanales; Solanaceae.
CCUCGUCCGGUUCCUUUAUCUAGUUUAGUAGUUUCUUUUACUAAAUCUAAGUAAUUUCUCCCAAAAUUACUAAAUCUUUUUUUUCAUCUCUCUUUGCUUUACUCUGUUCAUCUCUUUUCCUUAACCCAUGUUCUUAGCACCUGCUUCUUUAACCACACCCUAGGAUACACAGUCCUUUCGGUUCCCUGACCAUGGCGGACUUCCACUUCCCUAGGUAUUUACAGGUUAAUCCAUCGGGGU